Molecule: ribosomal RNA, 628 nt
Filed under: Gillisella vitis
Lineage: Bacteria; Pseudomonadati; Pseudomonadota; Alphaproteobacteria; Hyphomicrobiales; Rhizobiaceae
Description: bacterial SSU rRNA
Rfam family: Bacterial small subunit ribosomal RNA
Source: RNAcentral
GCCUCGCAAGAGGAGCGGCAGACGGGUGAGUAACGCGUGGGAAUCUACCGUACCCUACGGAAUAGCUCCGGGAAACUGGAAUUAAUACCGUAUACGCCCUUUGGGGGAAAGAUUUAUCGGGGUAUGAUGAGCCCGCGUUGGAUUAGCUAGUUGGUGGGGUAAAGGCCUACCAAGGCGACGAUCCAUAGCUGGUCUGAGAGGAUGAUCAGCCACAUUGGGACUGAGACACGGCCCAAACUCCUACGGGAGGCAGCAGUGGGGAAUAUUGGACAAUGGGCGCAAGCCUGAUCCAGCCAUGCCGCGUGAGUGAUGAAGGUCUUAGGAUUGUAAAGCUCUUUCACCGAUGAAGAUAAUGACGGUAGUCGGAGAAGAAGCCCCGGCUAACUUCGUGCCAGCAGCCGCGGUAAUACGAAGGGGGCUAGCGUUGUUCGGAAUUACUGGGCGUAAAGCGCACGUAGGCGGAUAAUUAAGUCAGGGGUGAAAUCCCGCAGCUCAACUGCGGAACUGCCUUUGAUACUGGUUAUCUUGAGUAUGGAAGAGGUAAGUGGAAUUGCGAGUGUAGAGGUGAAAUUCGUAGAUAUUCGCAGGAACACCAGUGGCGAAGGCGGCUUACUGGUCCAUUACUGAC